This 379-nucleotide ribosomal RNA is filed under the name uncultured eukaryote. RNAcentral's name for it is "partial 18S ribosomal RNA". It matches the Rfam family "Eukaryotic small subunit ribosomal RNA", at positions 592 to 976 of the family's 1831-position model. The record is from RNAcentral.
CAAUAGCGUAUAUUUAAGUUGUUGCAGUUAAAAAGCUCGUAGUUGGAUUUCGGAUGGGACUUGCCGGUCCGUCGUUUCGAUGUGCACUGGCCAGUCCUAUCUUGUUGUCGGGGACUAGCUCCUGGGCUUCACUGUCCGGGACUAGGAGCUGACGAGGUUACUUUGGGUAAAUUAGAGUGUUCAAAGCAAGCCUACGCUCUGAAUACAUUAGCAUGGAAUAACACGAUAGGACUCUGGCUUAUCUUGUUGGUCUGUGAGACCAGAGUAAUGAUUAAGAGGGACAGUCGGGGGCAUUCGUAUUUCAUUGUCAGAGGUGAAAUUCUUGGAUUUAUGAAAGACGAACUUCUGCGAAAGCAUUUGUCAAGGAUGUUUUCAUUAA